RNAcentral lists this ribosomal RNA (305 nucleotides) under uncultured bacterium. Its description in RNAcentral is "bacterial SSU rRNA". It matches the Rfam family "Bacterial small subunit ribosomal RNA", at positions 335 to 656 of the family's 1533-position model. The record is from RNAcentral.
UUUCCUACGGGGGGCAGCAGUGGGGAAUAUUGGGCAAUGGACGCAAGUCUGACCCAGCAACGCCGCGUGAAGGAAGAAGGCUUUCGGGUUGUAAACUUCUUUUAAGGGGGAAGAGCAGAAGACGGUACCCCUUGAAUAAGCCACGGCUAGCUACGUGCCAGCAGCCGCGGUAAUACGGAGGAUGCGAGCGUUAUCCGGAUUUAUUGGGUUUAAAGGGUGCGUAGGCGGGCUUUUAAGUCAGCGGUAAAAAUUCGGGGCUCAACCCCGUCCGGUCGUUGAAACUGGGGGCCUUGAGUGGGCGAGAA